GACAUAGGUCGCAAACGUUAUCCGGAAUUAUUGGGCGUAAAGGAUGCGUAGAUGGUUCAAUAAGUUACUGGUGGGAAAUCGAGGCUCAACCUCGUGGAAGUCAGUAAUACUGUUGAACUUGAGUGCAGGAGAGGUUAACGGAACUUUAUGUGGAGCGGUAAAAUGCGUAGAUAUAUGAAAGAACAUCAAUAUGGCGAAGGCAGUUAACUAUUCUGUUACUGACGUUGAGGCAUGAAAGCGUGGGGAGCAAAACGG
Molecule: ribosomal RNA, 255 nt
Filed under: uncultured bacterium
Lineage: Bacteria
Description: partial 16S ribosomal RNA
Rfam family: Bacterial small subunit ribosomal RNA
Source: RNAcentral